UCCUGGUUACCCAGGCAGUCUCGUUAGAGUUCCCACCCGAAGUGUUGGCAACUAACGAUAGGGGUUGCGCUCGUUGGGGGACUUAACCCUACACCUCACGGCACGAGCUGACGACAGCCAUGCAGCACCUGUGCCAGCGGCCCUUGCGGGAGGCGACAUCUCUGCCGCGGUCCACUGGCAUGUCAAACCUGGGUAAGGUUCUUCGUUUACCAUCGAAUUAAACCACAUGCUCCACUGCUUGUGCGAGCCCCCGUCAAUUCUUUUGAGUUUCAUCCUUGCGAACGUACUCCUCAGGCGGCAUACUUACCGCGUUAGCUACGACACGGCUGGGGUUGAAGCCAGCCACAUCAAGUAUGCAUAGUUUAAGGCAAGGACUAC
RNAcentral lists this unclassified non-coding RNA (378 nucleotides) under uncultured Chlamydiales bacterium. RNAcentral describes it as "contains 16S-23S intergenic spacer region". Lineage: Bacteria; Pseudomonadati; Chlamydiota; Chlamydiia; Chlamydiales. The record is from RNAcentral.